This 484-nucleotide ribosomal RNA is filed under the name uncultured bacterium. Its description in RNAcentral is "partial 16S ribosomal RNA". It matches the Rfam family "Bacterial small subunit ribosomal RNA", at positions 30 to 507 of the family's 1533-position model. The record is from RNAcentral.
AUUGAACGCUGGCGGCAGGCCUAACACAUGCAAGUCGAGCGGAUGAAGGGAGCUUGCUCCUGGAUUCAGCGGCGGACGGGUGAGUAAUGCCUAGGAAUCUGCCUGGUAGUGGGGGAUAACGUCCGGAAACGGGCGCUUAUACCGCAUACGUCCUGAGGGAGAAAGUGGGGGAUCUUCGGACCUCACGCUAUCAGAUGAGCCUAGGUCGGAUUAGCUAGUUGGUGGGGUAAAGGCCUACCAAGGCGACGAUCCGUAACUGGUCUGAGAGGAUGAUCAGUCACACUGGGACUGAGACACGGUCCAGACUCCUACGGGAGGCAGCAGUGGGGAAUAUUGGACAAUGGGCGAAAGCCUGAUCCAGCCAUGCCGCGUGUGUGAAGAAGGUCUUCGGAUUGUAAAGCACUUUAAGUUGGGAGGAAGGGCAGUAAGUUAAUACCUUGCUGUUUUGACGUUACCAAUAGAAUAAGCACCGGCUAACUUCGUG